Molecule: non-coding RNA, 109 nt
Filed under: Pseudo-nitzschia fraudulenta
Lineage: Eukaryota; Bacillariophyta; Bacillariophyceae; Bacillariales; Bacillariaceae
Source: RNAcentral
AAUAGCAAUGAUAAAACCGAAAUAUAACAUUAGUUGUUACGCAUUAUUGCUUGUCUAUAUCUUACAACACGUUUUGCAAAAACUGUCAGAACAAAUUCAAAACAAAUUU